GAUGAACGCUGGCGGCGUGCCUAAUACAUGCAAGUCGAGCGAACGGACGAGAAGCUUGCUUCUCUGAUGUUAGCGGCGGACGGGUGAGUAACACGUGGAUAACCUACCUAUAAGACUGGGAUAACUUCGGGAAACCGGAGCUAAUACCGGAUAAUAUUUUGAACCGCAUGGUUCAAAAGUGAAAGACGGUCUUGCUGUCACUUAUAGAUGGAUCCGCGCUGCAUUAGCUAGUUGGUAAGGUAACGGCUUACCAAGGCAACGAUGCAUAGCCGACCUGAGAGGGUGAUCGGCCACCCUGGAACUGGGCCACGGUCCAGACUCCUACGGGAGGCAGCAGUAGGGAAUCUUCCGCAAUGGGCGAAAGCCUGACGGAGCAACGCCGCGUGAGUGAUGAAGGUCUUCGGAUCGUAAAACUCUGUUAUUAGGGAAGAACAUAUGUGUAAGUAACUGUGCACAUCUUGACGGUACCUAAUCAGAAAGCCACGGCUAACUACGUG
Molecule: ribosomal RNA, 497 nt
Filed under: uncultured bacterium
Lineage: Bacteria
Description: partial 16S ribosomal RNA
Rfam family: Bacterial small subunit ribosomal RNA
Source: RNAcentral